UCUCAAACAUCUGCUGGAUCCAAACCUCGGGACCUGAUCUCAAACAUCUGCUGGAUCCAAACCUCGGGACAGGGUCUCAAACAUCUAGAGGCUGGAGAAUUCCAGAGGAGGAAGUUCAGGAUCGUCCAGAUGACGAGAGGACACUGAGGGGACCAGCUGAGCUCAGAGUCACAUGACAGUCUGCCACACAUGUGCUGAUGCUGCACAUACACAUCUGGCUGCAGAUGUUGUCAUGGCGACAGGCAGUGACAGACAGCGCACUGCCUCUGACCUGCCAAAUAAUGAGCUGUCCUCUACAUCCAAGCACUGCCUCUGACCUGCCAAAUAAUGAGCUGUCCUCUACAUCCAAGCACUGCCUCUGACCUGCCAAAUAAUGAGUGUUUGUCAGGGGCUGCUCACAAGAUUGAGAGAGGAAGAAGAAGAAGAGGAGGAUUAUUCUUCACCAUGUCAACAUGAUUGCGUGAAUGAAGAUCACAAUCAGAUGAAUGUGUUAAUCCCUGG
This is a long non-coding RNA of Solea senegalensis (Senegalese sole), 501 nucleotides long. RefSeq lists it as uncharacterized. The transcript is spliced from 5 exons. The record is from RefSeq and is a predicted model, not a curated record. NCBI's taxonomy places the organism in Eukaryota, Metazoa, Chordata, Actinopteri, Pleuronectiformes, Soleidae.